Molecule: ribosomal RNA, 490 nt
Filed under: uncultured bacterium
Lineage: Bacteria
Description: partial 16S ribosomal RNA
Rfam family: Bacterial small subunit ribosomal RNA
Source: RNAcentral
AUUGAACGCUGGCGGCAGGCCUAACACAUGCAAGUCGAACGGUAACAGGAAGCAGCUUGCUGCUUUGCUGACGAGUGGCGGACGGGUGAGUAAUGUCUGGGAAACUGCCCGAUGGAGGGGGAUAACUACUGGAAACGGUAGCUAAUACCGCAUAACGUCGCAAGACCAAAGAGGGGGACCUUAGGGCCUCUUGCCAUCGGAUGUGCCCAGAUGGGAUUAGCUAGUAGGUGGGGUAACGGCUCACCUAGGCGACGAUCCCUAGCUGGUCUGAGAGGAUGACCGGCCACACUGGAACGGAGACACGGUCCAGACUCCUACGGGAGGCAGCAGUGGGGAAUAUUGCACAAUGGGCGCAAGCCUGAUGCAGCCAUGCCGCGUGUAUGAAGAAGGCCUUCGGGUUGUAAAGUACUUUCAGCGGGGAGGAAGGGAGUAAAGUUAAUACCUUUGCUCAUUGACGUUACCCGCAGAAGAAGCACCGGCUAACUCCGUG